AACGAACGUUGGCGGCGUGCCUAACACAUGCAAGUCGAACGAAUGUAGCAAUACAUUAGUGGCGCACGGGUGAGUAACACGCGGGAAUCUGCCUCAUAGUUCGGAAUAACACCGGGAAACUGGUGCUAAUACCGGAUACGCCCUUCGGGGGAAAGUUUUUCGCUAUGAGAUGAGCCCGCGUUGGAUUAGCUAGUUGGUGAGGUAAUGGCUCACCAAGGCGACGAUCCAUAGCUGAUCUUAGAGGAUGAUCAGCCACACUGGGACUGAGACACGGCCCAGACUCCUACGGGAGGCAGCAGUGGGGAAUAUUGGACAAUGGGGGAAACCCUGAUCCAGCAACGCCGCGUGGAUGAUGAAGGUCUUCGGAUUGUAAAGUCCUUUUGGCGGGGACGAUGAUGACGGUACCCGCAGAAUAAGCUCCGGCUAACUUCGUGCCAGCCGCCGCAGUAA
RNAcentral lists this ribosomal RNA (450 nucleotides) under uncultured bacterium. RNAcentral describes it as "partial 16S ribosomal RNA". It matches the Rfam family "Bacterial small subunit ribosomal RNA", at positions 29 to 523 of the family's 1533-position model. The record is from RNAcentral.